RNAcentral lists this ribosomal RNA (554 nucleotides) under uncultured bacterium. RNAcentral describes it as "bacterial SSU rRNA". It matches the Rfam family "Bacterial small subunit ribosomal RNA", at positions 212 to 783 of the family's 1533-position model. The record is from RNAcentral.
AAUGCGCUGAGAGAGGAGUCCGCGGCCGAUUAGCUAGUUGGUAGGGUAAUGGCCUACCAAGGCGACGAUCGGUAGCCGGCCUGAGAGGGCACACGGCCACACUGGCACUGAGACACGGGCCAGACUCCUACGGGAGGCAGCAGUGGGGAAUCUUGCACAAUGGGGGAAACCCUGAUGCGGCGACGCCGCGUGAGUGAUGACGCCCUUCGGGGUGUAAAGCUCUUUCGACGGGAACGAUAAUGACGGUACCCGGAGAAGAAGCUGCGGCUAACUACGUGCCAGCAGCCGCGGUAAUACGUAGGCAGCAAGCGUUGUUCGGAAUUACUGGGCGUAAAGAGUACGUAGGUGGUUUGCUAAGUCUGAUGUGAAAUCUCCCGGCUUAACUGGGAGGGUGCGUUAGAUACUGGCAGGCUUGAGUGUGGGAGAGGAGAGCGGAAUUCCUGGUGUAGCGGUGAAAUGCGUAGAUAUCAGGAGGAACGCCUGUGGUGUAGACGGCUCUCUGGACCAUUACUGACACUGAGGUACGAAAGCGUGGGUAGCAAACAGGAUUAGAU